AGAGUUUGAUCCUGGCUCAGGAUGAACGCUGGCGGCGUGCCUAAUACAUGCAAGUCGAGCGAACGGACGAGAAGCUUGCUUCUCUGAUGUUAGCGGCGGACGGGUGAGUAACACGUGGAUAACCUACCUAUAAGACUGGGAUAACUUCGGGAAACCGGAGCUAAUACCGGAUAAUAUUUUGAACCGCAUGGUUCAAAAGUGAAAGACGGUCUUGCUGUCACUUAUAGAUGGAUCCGCGCUGCAUUAGCUAGUUGGUAAGGUAACGGCUUACCAAGGCAACGAUGCAUAGCCGACCUGAGAGGGUGAUCGGCCACACUGGAACUGAGACACGGUCCAGACUCCUACGGGAGGCAGCAGUAGGGAAUCUUCCGCAAUGGGCGAAAGCCUGACGGAGCAACGCCGCGUGAGUGAUGAAGGUCUUCGGAUCGUAAAACUCUGUUAUUAGGGAAGAACAUAUGUGUAAGUAACUGUGCACAUCUUGACGGUACCUAAUCAGAAAGCCACGGCUAACUACGUGCCAGCAGCCGCGGUAAUACGUAGGUGGCAAGCGUUAUCCGGAAUUAUUGGGCGUAAAGCGCGCGUAGGCGGUUUUUUAAGUCUGAUGUGAAAGCCCACGGCUCAACCGUGGAGGGUCAUUGGAAACUGGAAAACUUGAGUGCAGAAGAGGAAAGUGGAAUUCCAUGUGUAGCGGUGAAAUGCGCAGAGAUAUGGAGGAACACCAGUGGCGAAGGCGACUUUCUGGUCUGUAACUGACGCUGAUGUGCGAAAGCGUGGGGAUCAAACAGGAUUAGAUACCCUGGUAGUCCACGCCGUAAACGAUGAGUGCUAAGUGUUAGGGGGUUUCCGCCCCUUAGUGCUGCAGCUAACGCAUUAAGCACUCCGCCUGGGGAGUACGACCGCAAGGUUGAAACUCAAAGGAAUUGACGGGGACCCGCACAAGCGGUGGAGCAUGUGGUUUAAUUCGAAGCAACGCGAAGAACCUUACCAAAUCUUGACAUCCUUUGACAACUCUAGAGAUAGAGCCUUCCCCUUCGGGGGACAAAGUGACAGGUGGUGCAUGGUUGUCGUCAGCUCGUGUCGUGAGAUGUUGGGUUAAGUCCCGCAACGAGCGCAACCCUUAAGCUUAGUUGCCAUCAUUAAGUUGGGCACUCUAAGUUGACUGCCGGUGACAAACCGGAGGAAGGUGGGGAUGACGUCAAAUCAUCAUGCCCCUUAUGAUUUGGGCUACACACGUGCUACAAUGGACAAUACAAAGGGCAGCGAAACCGCGAGGUCAAGCAAAUCCCAUAAAGUUGUUCUCAGUUCGAAUUGUAGUCUGCAACUCGACUACAUGAAGCUGGAAUCGCUAGUAAUCGUAGAUCAGCAUGCUACGGUGAAUACGUUCCCGGGUCUUGUACACACCGCCCGUCACACCACGAGAGUUUGUAACACCCGAAGCCGGUGGAGUAACCUUUUAGGAGCUAGCCGUCGAAGGUGGGACAAAUGAUUGGGGUGAAGUCGUAACAAGGUAGCCGUAUCGGAAGGUGCGGCUGGAUCACCU
Molecule: ribosomal RNA, 1540 nt
Filed under: Staphylococcus aureus
Lineage: Bacteria; Bacillati; Bacillota; Bacilli; Caryophanales; Staphylococcaceae
Description: 16S ribosomal RNA
Rfam family: Bacterial small subunit ribosomal RNA
Source: RNAcentral